RNAcentral lists this ribosomal RNA (339 nucleotides) under Triticum aestivum (bread wheat). Its description in RNAcentral is "partial small subunit ribosomal RNA". The record is from RNAcentral. Lineage: Eukaryota; Viridiplantae; Streptophyta; Magnoliopsida; Poales; Poaceae.
AUGGAUGACAAUCACUGCCCCUUCCUUAGUUGGAAUGUGCGAGGGCUCGACAUGCCGGCCAAGCGUGAUGCUGUGUGCGAAACUGCUGCAGCGCACCGGCCGGCGAUCCUCUACCUUCAGGAAACUAAAAUCGACGUGUGGUCGCCGGCCCUAGUCAAGGAUGUAGGAGGUAGCCGGCUCACCGAAUGUGUAGUUCUACCUGCGAUAGGGUCUAGCGGAGGGGUGGCAAUCCUGUGGGAUAAUCAGGUCGCCUCGAUCGUUUCCCACGCCAUUGGAGAGUUUGCCAUCACAGUUAAGGUCACCGUCCUCCGCUCGGCCUCCACGUUCUGGUUAACCACA